UACGAAGGGGGCUAGCGUUGCUCGGAAUCACUGGGCGUAAAGCGCACGUAGGCGGAUCUUUAAGUCAGGGGUGAAAUCCUGGAGCUCAACUCCAGAACUGCCUUUGAUACUGGGGAGCUCGAGUCCGGAAGAGGUGAGUGGAACUCCGAGUGUAGAGGUGAAAUUCGUAGAUAUUCGCAAGAACACCAGUGGCGAAGGCGGCUCACUGGCCCGAUACUGACGCUGAGGCACGAAAGCGUGGGGAGCAAACAGG
RNAcentral lists this ribosomal RNA (253 nucleotides) under uncultured bacterium. RNAcentral's name for it is "partial 16S ribosomal RNA". It matches the Rfam family "Bacterial small subunit ribosomal RNA", at positions 524 to 776 of the family's 1533-position model. The record is from RNAcentral.